GGCGUAAAGCGCAUGCAGGUGGUUAAUUAAGUCGGAUGUGAAAUCCCCGAGCUCAACUUGGGACCUGCAUUCGAAACUGGUUAGCUAGAGUCCUGUAGAGGGGGGUAGAAUUUC
RNAcentral lists this ribosomal RNA (114 nucleotides) under uncultured bacterium. RNAcentral's name for it is "partial 16S ribosomal RNA". It matches the Rfam family "Bacterial small subunit ribosomal RNA", at positions 557 to 670 of the family's 1533-position model. The record is from RNAcentral.